GUCUCUGUGGCGCAAUCGGUUAGCGCGUUCGGCUGUUAAUCGAAAGGUUGGUGGGUCAAGCCCACCCGGGACG
This 73-nucleotide transfer RNA is filed under the name Saccoglossus kowalevskii. RNAcentral describes it as "tRNA-Asn". It matches the Rfam family "tRNA". Rfam says of the family: Transfer RNA (tRNA) molecules are approximately 80 nucleotides in length. Their secondary structure includes four short double-helical elements and three loops (D, anti-codon, and T loops). Lineage: Eukaryota; Metazoa; Hemichordata; Enteropneusta; Harrimaniidae. The record is from RNAcentral.